GUGCCCACUUUGGCAGCACAUAUACUAAAAUUGGAAUGAUACAGAGGAAAUUAGCAUGGGCCCCGUGCAAGGAUGACAUGCAAGUUAAGAGGGGAAGAUUAAAUAAAA
Small nuclear RNA from Vulpes vulpes (red fox), 108 nucleotides. The record is from Ensembl. NCBI's taxonomy places the organism in Eukaryota, Metazoa, Chordata, Mammalia, Carnivora, Canidae.